UGGGGAAUAUUGCACAAUGGGCGAAAGCCUGAUGCAGCGACGCCGCGUGAGGGAUGACGGCCUUCGGGUUGUAAACCUCUUUCAGCAGGGACGAAGCGAAAGUGACGGUACCUGCAGAAGAAGCACCGGCUAACUACGUGCCAGCAGCCGCGGUAAUACGUAGGGUGCAAGCGUUGUCCGGAAUUACUGGGCGUAAAGAGUUCGUAGGCGGUUUGUCGCGUCGUUUGUGAAAACUCACAGCUCAACUGUGAGCCUGCAGGCGAUACGGGCAGACUUGAGUACUGCAGGGGAGACUGGAAUUCCUGGUGUAGCGGUGAAAUGCGCAGAUAUCAGGAGGAACACCGGUGGCGAAGGCGGGUCUCUGGGCAGUAACUGACGCUGAGGAACGAAAGCGUGGGUAGCAAACAG
RNAcentral lists this ribosomal RNA (408 nucleotides) under uncultured bacterium. Its description in RNAcentral is "bacterial SSU rRNA". It matches the Rfam family "Bacterial small subunit ribosomal RNA", at positions 355 to 775 of the family's 1533-position model. The record is from RNAcentral.